GAUGAACGCUGGCGGCGUGCCUAAUACAUGCAAGUCGAGCGAACAGACGAGGAGCUUGCUCCUCUGACGUUAGCGGCGGACGGGUGAGUAACACGUGGAUAACCUACCUAUAAGACUGGGAUAACUUCGGGAAACCGGAGCUAAUACCGGAUAAUAUAUUGAACCGCAUGGUUCAAUAGUGAAAGACGGUUUUGCUGUCACUUAUAGAUGGAUCCGCGCCGCAUUAGCUAGUUGGUAAGGUAACGGCUUACCAAGGCGACGAUGCGUAGCCGACCUGAGAGUGUGAUCGGCCACACUGAAACUGAGACACGGUCCAGACCCCUACGGGAGGCAGCAGUAGGGAAUCUUCCGCAAGGGGCGAAAGCCUGACGGAGCAACGCCGCGUGAGUGAUGAAGGUCUUCGGAUCGUAAAACUCUGUUAUUAGGGAAGAACAAAUGUGUAAGUAACUAUGCACGUCUUGACGGUACCUAAUCAGAAAGCCACGGCUAACUACGU
RNAcentral lists this ribosomal RNA (496 nucleotides) under uncultured bacterium. RNAcentral describes it as "partial 16S ribosomal RNA". It matches the Rfam family "Bacterial small subunit ribosomal RNA", at positions 28 to 506 of the family's 1533-position model. The record is from RNAcentral.